AGGAUGAACGCUGGCGGUCUGCUUAACACAUGCAAGUCGAACGGAGUACCUCGGUACUUAGUGGCGGACGGGUGAGUAACGCGUGAGAAUCUGCCCUUAGGUCGGGGACAACCAUUGGAAACGAUGGCUAAUACCGGAUAAGCCGAGAGGUAAAAGAUUAAUUGCCUAGGGAAGAGCUCGCGUCUGAUUAGCUAGUUGGUGAGGUAAAGGCUCACCAAGGCAUCGAUCAGUAGCUGGUCUGAGAGGAUGAUCAGCCACACUGGGACUGAGACACGGCCCAGACUCCUACGGGAGGCAGCAGUGGGGAAUUUUCCGCAAUGGGCGAAAGCCUGACGGAGCAAGACCGCGUGAGGGAGGAAGGCUCUUGGGUUGUAAACCUCUUUUCUUGGGAAGAACAAAAUGACGGUACCCAAGGAAUCAGCAUCGGCUAACUCCGUGCCAGCAGCCGC
This 449-nucleotide ribosomal RNA is filed under the name uncultured bacterium. RNAcentral's name for it is "SSU rRNA". It matches the Rfam family "Bacterial small subunit ribosomal RNA", at positions 26 to 518 of the family's 1533-position model. The record is from RNAcentral.